Molecule: ribosomal RNA, 422 nt
Filed under: uncultured Hymenobacter sp.
Lineage: Bacteria; Pseudomonadati; Bacteroidota; Cytophagia; Cytophagales; Hymenobacteraceae
Description: bacterial SSU rRNA
Rfam family: Bacterial small subunit ribosomal RNA
Source: RNAcentral
UAGGGAAUAUUGGGCAAUGGACGAGAGUCUGACCCAGCCAUGCCGCGUGCAGGAUGAAGGCUUUCUGAGUCGUAAACUGCUUUUAUCAGGGAAGAAAAAAGGGCAUGCGUGCUUUACUGACGGUACCUGAUGAAUAAGCACCGGCUAACUCCGUGCCAGCAGCCGCGGUAAUACGGAGGGUGCAAGCGUUGUCCGGAUUUAUUGGGUUUAAAGGGUGCGUAGGCGGCUGAUUAAGUCUGGGGUGAAAGCCCGUUGCUCAACAACGGAACUGCCCUGGAAACUGGUUAGCUUGAGUACAGACGAGGGUGGCGGAAUGGAUACUGUAGCGGUGAAAUGCAUAGAUAGUAUCCAGAACACCGAUUGCGAAGGCAGCUGCCUAGACUGUAACUGACGCUGAGGCACGAAAGCGUGGGGAGCGAACA